GUAUGACUGAGCGAAGACAGGGAGAGGUCCAUGCCAUUGAAAGAAGUCUAUUACUCAAAGUUCCGCAGAAACCAGGGAACAUGGAACCCUGCAGGGCCAGGCGAAGCCUCAGUGCACCCAGGAGACGGGGAGAGACACAGGGCCAGAGAGGAGCUGGGACCGUGCCUUCACUGCUGCUGUGGUGGGGAGCAGCCAGAGACUAUCCUGGGGCAGGACUGGAGCCAGACGUCUGGGCCUGCCUUACGGGCCCCCGUUUCACACCCACUUCCCAACACUGGACCUCAUCCUGCUUCUGUACAGUGGCUGCUGCCCCGGAGGGGCCGGGCUGGAGCCAAAGCACCCAGGACCCGGACCCCUGAACCCUUCUGCAGGAGAUGCACUGGGCCACCCGGCAGCGGCCAGCCCAGAGACCUCGAUACCAUAGGGAAGCCUGGAGCCCACAGCCCGGUGCUGGGAGCCUGGAAUGAAGAAGGGGGAGACCAGAAUGGAGAGCCUGGCUAAAACCCCUGCUCCACAGCCCAGAGUGGCACCGGGGACAAAGGCCAGCCGAGUGAGCUCAGCCCUGAGUACCCAGAGGCCAUCCUUCAAAUCUAUCGUGUCC
This 601-nucleotide long non-coding RNA is filed under the name Equus asinus (donkey). Its description in RNAcentral is "lncRNA (ENSEASG00005033726.1)". Lineage: Eukaryota; Metazoa; Chordata; Mammalia; Perissodactyla; Equidae. The record is from RNAcentral.